AUGGGCCGGGGCCUCGCCGAGCAGGCGGGAGGGUAUGUCGGAC
RNAcentral lists this unclassified non-coding RNA (43 nucleotides) under Sorangium cellulosum So ce56. RNAcentral's name for it is "sce_s2m_13". Lineage: Bacteria; Pseudomonadati; Myxococcota; Polyangiales; Polyangiaceae. The record is from RNAcentral.